RNAcentral lists this ribosomal RNA (762 nucleotides) under uncultured Streptococcus sp. RNAcentral describes it as "bacterial SSU rRNA". It matches the Rfam family "Bacterial small subunit ribosomal RNA", at positions 28 to 776 of the family's 1533-position model. The record is from RNAcentral. Lineage: Bacteria; Bacillati; Bacillota; Bacilli; Lactobacillales; Streptococcaceae.
GACGAACGCGGCGGCGUGCCUAAUACAUGCAAGUAGAACGCUGAAGGAGGAGCUUGCUUCUCUGGAUGAGUUGCGAACGGGUGAGUAACGCGUAGGUAACCUGCCUGGUAGCGGGGGAUAACUAUUGGAAACGAUAGCUAAUACCGCAUAACAGUAGAUAUCGCAUGAUAGCUGCUUGAAAGGUGCAAUUGCACCACUACCAGAUGGACAUGCGUUGUAUUAGCUAGUUGGUGGGGUAACGGCUCACCAAGGCAACGAUACAUAGCCGACCUGAGAGGGUGAUCGGCCACACUGGGACUGAGACACGGCCCAGACUCCUACGGGAGGCAGCAGUAGGGAAUCUUCGGCAAUGGACGGAAGUCUGACCGAGCAACGCCGCGUGAGUGAAGAAGGUUUUCGGAUCGUAAAGCUCUGUUGUAAGAGAAGAACGAGUGUGAGAGUGGAAAGUUCACACUGUGACGGUAUCUUACCAGAAAGGGACGGCUAACUACGUGCCAGCAGCCGCGGUAAUACGUAGGUCCCGAGCGUUGUCCGGAUUUAUUGGGCGUAAAGCGAGCGCAGGCGGUUAGAUAAGUCUGAAGUUAAAGGCUGUGGCUUAACCAUAGUACGCUUUGGAAACUGUUUAACUUGAGUGCAAGAGGGGAGAGUGGAAUUCCAUGUGUAGCGGUGAAAUGCGUAGAUAUAUGGAGGAACACCGGUGGCGAAAGCGGCUCUCUGGCUUGUAACUGACGCUGAGGCUCGAAAGCGUGGGGAGCAAACAGG